UGAUUACGUCCCUGCCCUUUGUACACACCGCCCGUCGCUACUACCGAUUGGAUGACUUAGUGAGGUCUUAGGACCGAGGUGAAGGUGCCUUAACGGGUGCCUACGCUUUGGAAAUUUGAUCGAACUAAGUUAUCUAGAGGAAGUAAAAGUCGUAACAAGGUUUCCGUAGGUGAACCUGCGGAAGGAUCAUUAACGAGCUACGAGAAAGACGAAUCGAACGAGGGAAACUGGUAAAACGGUGGAUCUCGCUUUCUCGGUUUAAAUCCGAUCUGAGCGAAUCGAUCGUAUAUACGCGGUAAGGCGCUAAAUGCGCGAAGGCCGUUUGUCGAUUCCGGGCUCGAACGUUAUAUAGCAUCAGAUCGGGAAAAUAGUGAGAUGUAAAGCCGUGAGCGUGCGAGUGUCUGGAUAGAAAGAGCCGGCCGCGCGAAUCGCAUUCAGUAUCCGUCGCGGGACAUUAGGACGCGUUGGUUGUAGUGGAGUCAGAUACCUACCCACCGUCCUAAUAUUAAUCCCGCGCGAAUUUCGCGGAUUACUGAUACGCGUAUUCGUGGUCGGUCGGUUUAGUAUAGACACCGAAUGCCUGCCCGUUUCGGUUUUACGAAUAGAUAUUCUCGCUAUAAGCAGACGUCCCUCGGGGAGUCGGUUCCUUACGGUACGGUUAUUAAGGAACUGUUCCCUGUUUCGGGUACCUAUCGAAUUCUAACGCCGCGGUGACCGUCUGGCCGCGUGAACGAGUUACGCGUUAGAUUCGGUAUCCCUAUUUGGUCUUUCUUUGACCGUCUCGCGUUUUACGACCCGAGUAUAUUUUUGCGGGUUCGAUUCGUAUAAAAACGCGAGCGGUUCGAUUCGAAGGAAGCGUAGAAUGAGGGUUAGGUUUAAAGAGUCAUUGGUUCCGCGUUUUUUAAUUACGGAACGGCCGAUUUCUAGCGAACGAACGAGAGUACACCCGGCGAGUGUUAGUACCGGUAGUAAGUAUAUAUCGAACGAAGUUAUGUAUAUACAUAUCGGGAAAAGACUCUGCGCGAAGCGUGUCUAUUCGUUAGAAGCGGCUCGGGACGAAUCGGUUAGAAUCGUCCGGGUGACUGCCCGAUAUAUAUAUAUUUUUAUAUAUUAUUUAAACGUCACUCGAAAAAAGAGGGAACAAAAGUCGAAUCCUUAGCGAUUCCAUUCUAAGCGGUGGAUCACUAGGCUCGCGGGUCGAUGAAGAACGGGGCCAGCCCCGAGAAUAAGUGCGAAUUGCAGACACAAAGAGCAUCGACCAUUCGAACGCACAUUGCGGUACCGGGCCAGCUCGGUACCACGCCUAUCUGAGGGUCGAACGAUCGGUUAAAAGUAUCGUAUUCGACAGAGAAAAGACGCUAGUAAUGUAGGAAACGGUUAAGCCGCGAUCGAUGUGUGCCGUUCGUUUAUUCCGAAUCGAUUGUUUUUAAUUCGGACGUAACGAAUAUAUUCGAACGGCGGCGGUUUAAUCUUACGCGACCGCGUCUAUGAAAGAUUGGACUCGAGACCGUCGUUUCUCACGGUCGUCUCGUCCUAAGGUCCUUUUUUUACAGUCGGGAAAAUGACUGUAAGGACCAGACGAAAAGCGGGGAGAACGUAUAAACGGGAAAGGUUUUUAUACUAGUAUCCUUACUUUUAGCUCGAGUAACGCGCGAAUCGAAAGUAUAUAUGACUGUCCCGACUACGACGUAUAAAUGUAUGUAAUCGCCUUCGCCGUGUGUUCGAAAAAGACGGCUGGAUAAGUGAAACGAAGGCGGUUAUUCGUAGUCGGACGAAUAUAUGACGGCAGUUUUUUUAUAUAUACGGACGCGUGAAAGAGACUCGAAUAUCGACCUCAGAUUAGACGAGAUUACCCGCCGAAUUUAAGCAUAUAAUUAGGCGGAGGAAAAGAAAUUAACAAAGAUUUCCUUAGUAACGGCGAGUGA
RNAcentral lists this unclassified non-coding RNA (1925 nucleotides) under Xiphinema sp. 7_77. Its description in RNAcentral is "sequence contains 18S rRNA gene, ITS1, 5.8S rRNA gene, ITS2, 28S rRNA gene". The stretch from base 1 to 192 matches the Rfam family "Eukaryotic small subunit ribosomal RNA", at positions 1642 to 1831 of the family's 1831-position model. Lineage: Eukaryota; Metazoa; Nematoda; Enoplea; Dorylaimida; Longidoridae. The record is from RNAcentral.